Molecule: ribosomal RNA, 273 nt
Filed under: uncultured bacterium
Lineage: Bacteria
Description: partial 16S ribosomal RNA
Rfam family: Bacterial small subunit ribosomal RNA
Source: RNAcentral
UACGGAGGGGGCUAGCGUUAUUCGGAAUUACUGGGCGUAAAGCGCACGUAGGCGGCUUUGUAAGUCAGAGGUGAAAGCCUGGAGCUCAACUCCAGAACUGCCUUUGAGACUGCAUCGCUUGAAUCCAGGAGAGGUGAGUGGAAUUCCGAGUGUAGAGGUGAAAUUCGUAGAUAUUCGGAAGAACACCAGUGGCGAAGGCGGCUCACUGGACUGGUAUUGACGCUGAGGUGCGAAAGCGUGGGGAGCAAACAGGAUUAGAAACCCCCGUAGUCC